This 488-nucleotide ribosomal RNA is filed under the name uncultured bacterium. RNAcentral's name for it is "SSU rRNA". It matches the Rfam family "Bacterial small subunit ribosomal RNA", at positions 26 to 518 of the family's 1533-position model. The record is from RNAcentral.
AGGACGAACGCUGGCGGCGUGCCUAACACAUGCAAGUGGAGCGACGAACCAGGCUUCGGCCUGGGGCAAAGCCGCGAACGGGUGAGUAACACGUGGGUAACCUGCCCCGAUGAUUGGGACAACCCGAGGAAACUCGGGCUAAUACCGAAUGUGCCCUCCGACCAUAAGGUCGCUGGGGAAAGGAAGCUUCGGCCUCCGCAUCGGGAUGGGCCCGCGGCCCAUUAGCUUGUUGGUGAGGUAACGGCUCACCAAGGCUGCGAUGGGUAGCUGGUCUGAGAGGACGAUCAGCCACACUGGGACUGAGACACGGCCCAGACUCCUACGGGAGGCAGCAGUGGGGAAUAUUGCACAAUGGGCGCAAGCCUGAUGCAGCGACGCCGCGUGGGGGAUGACGGCCUUCGGGUUGUAAACCCCGUUUCAGUAGGGACGAAGCGCAAGUGACGGUACCUACAGAAGAAGACACCGGCCAACUACGUGCCAGCAGCCGC